AAAGGAAUUGACGGGGGCCCGCACAAGCGGUGGAACACGUGGUUUAAUUCGAUGCUACGCGAGGAACCUUACCAGGGUUUGACAUGCUGGAAGUAGUGGCCUGAAAGGGCUUCCGACUUGUAACCAAUCAAGAACCAGCACAGGUGCUGCAUGGUUGUCGUCAGCUCGUGCCGUGAGGUGUUCCCUUAAGUGGGAGAACGAGCGCAACCCUCGCUAUUUGUUGCUACCUUCGGCUUUUAGUCGGAGCGCACUCUAAUAGGACUGCCCGCGUUAAGUGGGAGGAAGGCGGGGACGACGUCAAAUCCGCAUGGCCCUUAUGUCCUGGGCUACACACGUGUUACAAUGCUUACUACAAUGGGAUGCCAAACCGUAAGGCGGAGCAAAUCCUAUAAAAGUAAGCCCAGUUCGGAUUGAGGGCUGCAACUCGUCCUCAUGAAGCUGGAAUCGCUAGUAAUGGCGUAUCAGCUACGACGCCGUGAAUACGUUCCCGGGCCUUGUACACACCGCCCGU
This 511-nucleotide ribosomal RNA is filed under the name uncultured bacterium. RNAcentral describes it as "bacterial SSU rRNA". It matches the Rfam family "Bacterial small subunit ribosomal RNA", at positions 903 to 1397 of the family's 1533-position model. The record is from RNAcentral.